GAUGAACGCUGGCGGCGUGCCUAACACAUGCAAGUCGAGCGAGAUGAAUGUGAGUGGAGACUUCGGUCAAAGCAAUCAUUUUGAAAGCGGCGGACGGGUGAGUAACGCGUGAGCAAUCUGCCCCAUACAAAGGGAUACCCACUGGAAACGGUGAUUAAUACCUUAUAAGACCACGAAGUCGCCUGGCUUAGUGGCCAAAGAUUUAUCGGUAUGGGAUGAGCUCGCGUCUGAUUAGCUAGUUGGUGAGGUAAUGGCUCACCAAGGCGACGAUCAGCAGCCGACCUGAGAGGGUGAACGGCCACACUGGAACUGAGACACGGUCCAGACUCCUACGGGAGGCAGCAGUGGGGAAUAUUGCACAAUGGGCGCAAGCCUGAUGCAGCAACGCCGCGUGAAUGAUGAAGGCCUUCGGGUCGUAAAGUUCUGUCCUAAGGGAAGAAUACAGUGACGGUACCUUAGGAGGAAGCCCUGGCUAACUACGUGCCAGCAGCCGCCGUAA
This 499-nucleotide ribosomal RNA is filed under the name uncultured bacterium. Its description in RNAcentral is "partial 16S ribosomal RNA". It matches the Rfam family "Bacterial small subunit ribosomal RNA", at positions 28 to 523 of the family's 1533-position model. The record is from RNAcentral.